CUACGGGCCGCUCCAGGCGCGAAACCUUUACAAUGCACGAAAGUGUGAUAAGGGAACCCCGAGUGCUUUGCUUUCGGGUAAAGCUUUUGUUAAGGGUAAAAAUCUUGGCGAAUAAACGGUGGGUAAGACUGGUGCCAGCCGCCGCGGUAACACCAGCGCCGUUAGUGGCAAUCAUGUUUAUUGGGUCUAAAGCGUUCGUAGCCGGUUUGGUCAGUUCUUUGUGAAAUUGUUAGGCUUAACCUAACAACGUGCAAGGAAUACUGCCAGACUAGGGACCGGGAGGAGGUAGGAGUACUCUUUGGGGAGCGGUAGAAUGUUGUAAUCCUUAGAGGACUACCUGUGGCGAAGGCGCCUAUCCAGAACGGGUCUGACGGUGAGGAACGAAGGCUAGGGGAGCAAAACGGAUUAGAUACCCCCGUAGUC
Molecule: ribosomal RNA, 423 nt
Filed under: uncultured archaeon
Lineage: Archaea
Description: partial 16S ribosomal RNA
Rfam family: Archaeal small subunit ribosomal RNA
Source: RNAcentral